GUGCUUACUUCAGUAGCACAUAUAUUAAAAUCAGAGUAACACAGGGACGAUUAGCCUGGCCCCUGUGCAAGGAUGACACACAAAUUCAUGAAGCAUCUCAUACCUUU
Molecule: small nuclear RNA, 107 nt
Organism: Suricata suricatta (meerkat)
Lineage: Eukaryota; Metazoa; Chordata; Mammalia; Carnivora; Herpestidae
Source: Ensembl